CGGACGGGUGAGUAAUGCCUAGGAAUCUGCCUGGUAGUGGGGGACAACGUUUCGAAAGGAACGCUAAUACCGCAUACGUCCUACGGGAGAAAGCAGGGGACCUUCGGGCCUUGCGCUAUCAGAUGAGCCUAGGUCGGAUUAGCUAGUUGGUGAGGUAAUGGCUCACCAAGGCGACGAUCCGUAACUGGUCUGAGAGGAUGAUCAGUCACACUGGAACUGAGACACGGUCCAGACUCCUACGGGAGGCAGCAGAC
This 254-nucleotide ribosomal RNA is filed under the name uncultured Pseudomonas sp. RNAcentral describes it as "partial 16S ribosomal RNA". It matches the Rfam family "Bacterial small subunit ribosomal RNA", at positions 99 to 354 of the family's 1533-position model. The record is from RNAcentral. Lineage: Bacteria; Pseudomonadati; Pseudomonadota; Gammaproteobacteria; Pseudomonadales; Pseudomonadaceae.